RNAcentral lists this ribosomal RNA (1311 nucleotides) under Triticum aestivum (bread wheat). Its description in RNAcentral is "partial small subunit ribosomal RNA". Lineage: Eukaryota; Viridiplantae; Streptophyta; Magnoliopsida; Poales; Poaceae. The record is from RNAcentral.
AUGGCUAGCCAAAUAUCUGGUACCAUAGCAUCUAGUGGGGUGUGCUAUAAUGAUAAACACAGAAUGCCGUGUAAGCUGAAAGCACUACGCUGCGUAGCAUCGAAUUGUUUACCACUAGAGGUAGAGGUAAGGAAGUGGAUGAACGGAUAUCAUAUCAUCAGGUCCUUUCCAAACGAUAGGCAUUGGAAAACGAAUGCGAAGUCCAAUGGUUACCUACUCCAACAAGGUCCGAAUGUUUGGUGCCAUUCUUAUGGUUCUCGUAGUGCCAGUGAAACUAAAGAGUGCAAUAUUCCUGAAGAUGGCAACAAUCCUUACAGGGAUUUUGAUGAGCAUCCAAGAGGAAUGUCACAUUUUUCAGAUAGUCAAGUUGCAGCUCAGGAAAAAACACUAUAUUCUACUCAAGGGCUGUCUAAAGCGUGCCAAUUUGUCUAUAAUGAUGCAAAGUUUGUGAAUGAAAGAGCUCAGAGUGAUAUUCUUUUGCUUUCACGUGGCAUCACAAGGUUGAACAAACGUGCAUCUAAGGAUGUUGCUGUAUUAGGAUUGGGGUUUCUCAAGCUUGAUGCUCGUGCAAGGAAGGACACCCGAAAGAUUGAUAACAGUGUGAAGGAACGGGCAGCCCACCUAACCAAUUUUGCUAGAAUAUUGAAGGAGCGAGCUCAUUCAGACUUGAAGAAAGCAGCAGAUCAACAUUGGAGUGAUGGUGCUUUGGAGGCAGAUCUGCGACGAGCUGACAUGGUUGUUCGACGACGUGCCAUGGAGGAUGCUUUCAUGGCUUUAAAGUUUGUUCGGGGUAUUCAUGACAUGAUGGCAACCAAACUACAAUAUCAGUUCAUCACACUGGAGAAAAAUGGGAAGAUUCUUAAGUUGUUCCCUCGUGAAGUUUCUACUGAUCAAAUCGCUGCCAUAGAGGAUGCAUAUCUUAAUAUGGCAUCUGCCUUAUCUGAGGCUGAUGGUAUCGACUACACCAAUCCUGAGGAGCUUGAAUUAUUAGUAGCGGCUCUUAUUGACCUGGAUGCUAUGGAUGGGAAAAAGAGUGUUUCCUUGAUAGUUGAAUGUUCAAGCUCUCCAGAUGUUAAUACCAGGAAAGCUUUGGCUAAUGCAUUGGCUGCAGCUCCAUCUAUGUGGACCCUAGGGAAUGCUGGGAUGGGCGCAUUACAGAGAUUGGCUCAAGAUUCCAAUCCCGCUGUAGCUAGCUCUGCAGCAAGAGCCAUUGGCGAACUCAGAAAGCAGUGGGAGCUUGAAGAGGGUGACAGUCUGAGGUUUGUCAUGAACCAAAACUUGAUUUCCGAAGAGACUGACAGCGACAGUUGA